GGGGAAUUUUGCGCAAUGGGCGAAAGCCUGACGCAGCGACGCCGCGUGAACGAUGAAGGCCUUCUGGGUUGUAAAGUUCUGUCAAGUGGAACGAAUGUUGGCGGGAGGAAAUGCCCGCCAAUUGACGGUACCAUUGAAGGAAGCCCCGGCUAACUCCGUGCCAGCAGCCGCGGUAAUACGGAGGGGGCGAGCGUUGUCCGGAAUCACUGGGUGUAAAGGGCGUGUAGGCGGCCUGUAAAGUCCCGCGUGAAAACGAUCGGCUCAACUGAUCGCUUGCGCUGGAAACUGCCAGGCUUGAGUUCGGGAGAGGAGAGCGGAAUUCCAAGUGUAGCGGUGAAAUGCGUAGAUAUUUGGGGGAACACCGGUGGCGAAAGCGGCUCUCUGGACCGAUACUGACGCUGAGGCGCGAAAGUUAGGGAAGCAAAC
Molecule: ribosomal RNA, 426 nt
Filed under: uncultured bacterium
Lineage: Bacteria
Description: bacterial SSU rRNA
Rfam family: Bacterial small subunit ribosomal RNA
Source: RNAcentral